RNAcentral lists this unclassified non-coding RNA (306 nucleotides) under rhizosphere metagenome. RNAcentral's name for it is "partial ribosomal RNA internal transcribed spacer region". The record is from RNAcentral.
GUAGGUGAACCUGCGGAAGGAUCAUUAACACGUACUCCGGUACAAACCUCAACCGUGAAUUGUAGCUUCUCCCUGUCUAUACCAAUGGUGUCCGAUGACGGUAGUAAGGGUCAUCGUUGAUGCACGGACUGGCGACGUCGGACCAACCCCGGCUAGCCCUCCACGCUGGUAUUCAGGCUGUCCCUUUACUGAUCUUUUACGAUCUCACCCAUGUAACUUUGGACUGAUUAAAGCCUAGCGUGUCUAACGACCCAGGUGAAUUAUUUAAACCUAGCACAACUCUUAGCAAUGGAUAUCUAGGUUCUC